RNAcentral lists this transfer RNA (65 nucleotides) under Scyra compressipes. RNAcentral describes it as "tRNA-Arg". The record is from RNAcentral. Lineage: Eukaryota; Metazoa; Arthropoda; Malacostraca; Decapoda; Pisidae.
UGUUAGAAAACGAACAUUCGUAUUUAGUUUCGACCUAAAUUAUGGUUAAUUUUAACCUCUAUCAA